Molecule: ribosomal RNA, 578 nt
Filed under: Papiliotrema laurentii
Lineage: Eukaryota; Fungi; Basidiomycota; Tremellomycetes; Tremellales; Rhynchogastremaceae
Description: partial large subunit ribosomal RNA
Rfam family: Eukaryotic large subunit ribosomal RNA
Source: RNAcentral
CGAGUGAACCGGGAAGAGCUCAAAUUUGAAAUCUGGCGUCCUCAGGGCGUCCGAGUUGUAAUCUAUAGAGGCGUUUUCCGUGCCGGACCGUGUCCAAGUUCCUUGGAACAGGAUAUCAAAGAGGGUGACAAUCCCGUACUUGACACGACGACCGGUGCUCUGUGAUACGUCUUCUACGAGUCGAGUUGUUUGGGAAUGCAGCUCAAAAUGGGUGGUGAGUUCCAUCUAAAGCUAAAUAUUGGCGAGAGACCGAUAGCGAACAAGUACCGUGAGGGAAAGAUGAAAAGCACUUUGGAAAGAGAGUUAAACAGUACGUGAAAUUGUUGAAAGGGAAACGAUUGAAGUCAGUCGUGACCGAGAGGCUCAGCCGGUUCUGCCGGUGUAUUCCCCUCGGUCGGGUCAACAUCAGUUUUGUCCGGUGGAUAAGGGCGGUAGGAAGGUGGCACCCUCGGGUGUGUUAUAGCCUGCCGUCGCAUACAUCGGGUGAGACUGAGGAACGCAGCUCGCCUUUAUGGCCGGGGUUCGCCCACGUCCGAGCUUAGGAUGUUGACAUAAUGGCUUUAAACGACCCGUCUUGA